GGACCUAGGAUAUGGACACCGUCAUCUUCCCCAUCCCACAGAUCCAGCCUGGGCCACAAAAGGCUCCUUUUGUUCCUCACAGGACUCUCGCCUCUGUGCUGUUGGAGAGAACAGGCCAUUCGAACUGAAGGUGACCUUGGAGAAAGAACAAGAAAGGUUCUGCCGAAGCCUGGCUCAUUUCCAGCCGACUGAAGAAAAGCAGGAGGUCGUAUCCGUCAACACCGGAAGUCCUCAGCUCGGCUAGAGACUGUUCCAGCUUCAGUCUGUUACCAGUGUUCUUCAGUCCCUCCUUUCCUCUGUGCCAGCACGGACAGAGCUAAGUGACAAGGGUCUGCACCACUCCAGGCCACAGUCACUCAUGCUGUUGCAGCCCGUGCAGCUGGGGAUUCGAGGUGAGAGAGCUCCUACAGAGGGGGCAUAGCCUUUGGUUCGAGUGGACAACUGUUCUUUGGAAUCUUUUCAUGCCAAAGGAAAGGAUACAACAGAGCACCAGCCACCAUGUCCACUCUCUCAGAAAGAGGAAUAUUUUGGAAGCAAAGCGUGGCCUGAGUGUCUCUCGAGAUGUGUGCUCAGCUAAACCAAGACUUCAUCCUUCAGACGUGCAGCCUCAGAGCUCUGGAGCAAGGCCUUGAAAGGCCCCACCAGUGGGAUAAAGAAAUAAUUUCUGGUGAUUUCAGUUGCCCUGUAGGUGAGGGAUCAAUAUAUCAGAAAGGACUGCUUACCAAACUUUGUACAGGAGUCUGGAAAUUUUUGACUGUGCCUCUGAAGUGUGUAACAGUUAAUAGAUAGCAGAAUGUGAGCCUGCGUGUGGAUAGGUUUCUAUGCCCUUGGGAAUCCUGUGAUAUAAAUCUGUUUUCUCUUUUUAUUAUAAGAUUUUGUCACCAGCUGCACUUGCGUUUUCAUACAGAGUAACCCCCAAAUCACACUGCAUGAAGUGUCACAAAUCAUACACAAGAUCUGUAGCCAUGCAUGACAAAGGGGCCUCGGUUCAGUGCUGAAGUUCUGCAGAAAGGUAAGUUCUGCAGAAAGGCAUUUCAUCUUAUCUCAUCAGAUCUUAUAUUUUUUCCUCAAGCCUUCAUUUCCAUUAUAUUCAUUUUCAGAGUGGCACAUGGAGGCAACAUUUUUCAAUAGUCAAUUAUCUUUGGCCGAUCUCUGGCUCUCUCCUUACUCCUUCACAAAAUACAUUCAGUAGCUGAUGCUAUGUUUCAUUCAAAUUAUUCGUUUCCGUAAUGCAGGAUUUAAAGCGUGUGCCUGAUUUUUAUUGACUAGUCUUAUUUCUUGUCACUGUCUGUUCCCUUACCAUGUCCUGAUCGACUAUUCUAAUAAAGAGUUUCUAGCAUUCUCUUUUCAAUACGUC
Long non-coding RNA from Mus pahari (shrew mouse), 1357 nucleotides. RefSeq lists it as uncharacterized. The transcript has 3 exons. The record is from RefSeq and is a predicted model, not a curated record. NCBI's taxonomy places the organism in Eukaryota, Metazoa, Chordata, Mammalia, Rodentia, Muridae.